AAACCAGCACCUCAAGUGGUCAGGAUGAUUAUUGGGCCUAAAGCAUCCGUAGCCUGCUCUGUAAGUUUUCGGUUAAAUCUGUACGCUCAACGUACAGGCUGCCGGGAAUACUGCAGAGCUAGGGAGUGGGAGAGGUAGACGGUACUCGGGAGGAAGUGGUAAAAUGCUUUGAUCUCUCGAUGACCACCUGUGGCGAAGGCGGUCUACCAGAACACGACCGACGGUGAGGGAUGAAAGCUGGGGGAGCAAACCGGAGUAGAAACCCCAGUAGUCC
RNAcentral lists this ribosomal RNA (274 nucleotides) under uncultured bacterium. Its description in RNAcentral is "partial 16S ribosomal RNA". It matches the Rfam family "Archaeal small subunit ribosomal RNA", at positions 473 to 747 of the family's 1478-position model. The record is from RNAcentral.